UGGGGAAUUUUGGACAAUGGGCGCAAGCCUGAUCCAGCAAUGCCGCGUGCAGGAUGAAGGCCUUCGGGUUGUAAACUGCUUUUGUACGGAGCGAAAAGGUCUGCCCUAAUACGGUGGGCUCAUGACGGUACCGUAAGAAUAAGCACCGGCUAACUACGUGCCAGCAGCCGCGGUAAUACGUAGGGUGCGAGCGUUAAUCGGUAUUACUGGGCGUAAAGCGUGCGCAGGCGGUUUUGUAAGACAGAGGUGAAAUCCCCGGGCUCAACCUGGGAAUUGCCUUUGUGACUGCAAGGCUUGAGUGCGGCAGAGGGGGAUGGAAUUCCGCGUGUAGCAGUGAAAUGCGUAGAUAUGCGGAGGAACACCGAUGGCGAAGGCAAUCCCCUGGACCUGUACUGACGCUCAUGCACGAAAGCGUGGGGAGCAAACA
RNAcentral lists this ribosomal RNA (427 nucleotides) under uncultured bacterium. Its description in RNAcentral is "bacterial SSU rRNA". It matches the Rfam family "Bacterial small subunit ribosomal RNA", at positions 355 to 774 of the family's 1533-position model. The record is from RNAcentral.